AUUUGGCGAGAGACGACAUAGUGCAGUGCCAUACCACACUUAGGACCGGGCUUGAAAUCAAUAAAGUGCCCAAAACAACCCCCUAAAAAUCUAUCAAGCAACGGUUGCCCACCUGCAUCAAGCAAUGCCUUUUUAACAAUGGCCAAAUAAUCUAUCCUAUAGUACGUGCUAACAUUCGAGUGAACAUUGAUCGUACUAGGCCUCACAAAAUCAGGAGCCACCUGUAAUUAAAAGAAAUAUAUUAUAUGACACAUUAGAUAAUAGUUUAUUACUUCAACUAACAUUCAUUAGAAAAUGAGUAAAUAAAAUUACGAUACAAAGAUCCAAAGAGAGAAUGAGCUAUCAUUAUUAAAGUUCAACAUAUAUAUACAUAGGACAGGGGCCAUUAUAAGUUCAAAAUUCUACUCAAGUGGGUACAUUCUCUUCUUUUUUUAAAUUUCUUUGUGAAAUAUGCAAAGUAUCCACAAUUAAUAUUACCACUUCAAUCUGCAAAGUUCAAAAAAUAGUAGAAUUAUAUAAUAUUGGCACAAAUUUUGCACUUCAUCUUUUGAACUUUUCUUAGUAUACAUAAUCAUUAGUCACAAUUGAUUUCUUUUUAGCAAUCUUUCAUAAAAUUGACAACUUAUGAGCAUUUUAUUCCAUCACCAUAAAAUUGACUCUCGACCACAAGUUAUCCUACUCUCACAAGCUGCCACAUAUCUCCCUUCGCAUGCAAACAUCCCUAAUAUGCCACCACGCACUUCUCUUCAAUCUCAUACCUAUUUAACUUUUAAUCCCCCUCUAUCUCUUUGUCAUCUAACUCCAAAUUAACCCCAACCCUUCUCUCUCAUGCGUGUGGAGUAAUCACGCAAAUGCGUGUGGCGACUACAAAGAAAUGAGCAAUCCCAGCUCUCCCUACUCCAUCUCAAGUUGAAGAUCUCAUCAUCUAGACUUUAAUUAAUUAGUUUUAUUAACUCUUUUGAUUAAUUAGUACUUUAAAUUUUCAAAUUUGUCGUUAACUAGGACUUUUUUUUUUGCAUGUUGUGAGAUUCUUGUUUUAUCAAGACUUGAUUUGGGUAUUUAUUCCUUGGUUCUGUACUAAAUUGCAUGGUCUUCACAAUCGUCAUGGCCCACUCCACUAAUUAAAUUUUAAUCAAACCCUUAAAGAUAAUGAUGGGCAGCGUUUGCGCCGAGCAGUAACACAAGCAAGAGGUGAAAGCGGAAACUAGAGAUAUUUCACGGAAAUACAAGCAACUAGAGAUAUUACAUCAAAUAUGAUUCAUAAUGUUGGAAAAGGGUAGACUUACAUCUUCAUGUUCAGACAUCUUCACAGUGGUUUCAGAAGGUCGCGCGGCGGAAACUCGAAUUUUUCAUGGCAAGAGGUGAAAGCGGAAACUUAAGCGUGCACGGCGGAAAGUCUGAUGUAGAAGUAAUGUUUUGGCGUGUGCAAGGCGGAAACACAAAGAUAGAGAAACAAAUGAAUUUAAGAACUUUAAGAGAAUUUAUGUUUGGGACACUUGGGUAGAUAAAAUUGUACUUUUAUCUGACACCCCAAAUCUUGAACUGACGUUUUUGUGUAGAUUUUUAAAUAAGAAUAAUAUUUUAAUGGAUAUGGAUAUGUAGUGUAGG
RNAcentral lists this long non-coding RNA (1608 nucleotides) under Salvia miltiorrhiza (redroot sage). RNAcentral's name for it is "long non-coding RNA (SMIL_LNC013661)". Lineage: Eukaryota; Viridiplantae; Streptophyta; Magnoliopsida; Lamiales; Lamiaceae. The record is from RNAcentral.